AAAGGCUUAGUUGAGUUGAGUUGUCUUAGUUCUGAUAGUUGUUAGCAGUACUCAGCUAGUUAGCUUAUGUAAAGCUUCUAUUCAUUCUAAACUUAAAUCUUUGAUUCAAGGCUGGUUGGUUACUCUUGACUAUUUUAAGUACCAUUACAGAAAACGAAAUAUUUAUAUCAUAAUUAACUACAACAUAAACAUGUGGAGAAUAUUUAUUGAUACACAUGCAUUAUGAUGUAAUCUUGAUGUCAUUGUACUCCAAUCACGAUUUUGAAUAUCUUAUGGUACACAACAAAAUAAAUUUGGUAUAUAAAACAUUAUGCAUCAUACAUAUGCCCAAUUCAAAUAAUAUGGUGCCAUUUGAUUAUUCUCAUGAACUUUAAAAAUAUGCAUGUUUACUUUGGAUCUGUGCUUAUAAGAUUUAGGCUCCAUCAAUUUCCUAGUAAAUAACAUGUUUUUUGAAAAAAAUUGAGAAAAUUAUUUAUUUUUUAUUUUUUGAUUGAAUACUAGAAACUAGUUGAAAGUAAUUUUUUCGAAUUUCAAGUACUUUUGAAAAUAUGAAUUUUCUUUGAGUAUAUAAUACUGAAAAUGUUUGGAUCUACAAAGACUUCUUAUUUUUUCUAAUUUUAGUUAAAUACGAGAGCAUUCGUUAAAAAAAUGAUGAAAGUAAGAGAGGGAGGGGGACCUUGUGGGUGUUGUUUAUUGACAACAAUCCAAUGGUCGAUGACGACUGAAGAUGAUCACCAAAUCAUUGAUGCAUCUAAAGUCACAUGGUUAAAUAUUUUCCUUAUAGAUUCCUUCCAUUUUAUAAGUUUGUGAUAGUCUAGAAAAAGACAUACCAAUUUGAAAUUUGCCUAGAAAA
This 853-nucleotide unclassified non-coding RNA is filed under the name Hevea brasiliensis (rubber tree). The record is from RNAcentral. Lineage: Eukaryota; Viridiplantae; Streptophyta; Magnoliopsida; Malpighiales; Euphorbiaceae.